RNAcentral lists this long non-coding RNA (756 nucleotides) under Musa acuminata (dwarf banana). RNAcentral's name for it is "long non-coding RNA (MACU_LNC005099)". The record is from RNAcentral. Lineage: Eukaryota; Viridiplantae; Streptophyta; Magnoliopsida; Zingiberales; Musaceae.
ACAGAGUUGAUUCAAGAGGGCUUCUGGUACAAGUAUGACUCGAGAUCACAUCCAUCUUUCCAUGCCUACUCCAAAUCAUAACUCGGUAAAAGUAUGUCUUAUCUCUGAAUUCUACUGCAAGACUCCAUUCAUUUCGACAUACUAUUAGUGAUUCUCGUCUGCUAGUUUCUCUCAAUCAAAAGGUGGGUUGAAAGGUAUAUUAUAGAGAGCACCAUGAAGCAUGUGUUCCUCACGAAUGAAUCUUCUUGAAAAUUUAAUGCAUGCCUAGGUCCCUCAAGUCAGCUCUUGGAGGUGACAUGUAAGAACAUGACUGCCAGAAAAACUAAGGCCAUCCAUUCGAGUAUGGUGUCUCGAAGAGAACUCAUCAAUUUCCAAAGUGUUCGCGGGAUGCCAACCUCAGAUGUAUAAGAUUUUAUUGUAGGGAUUAGUGAUGAAGCCAGGAUUUGAUCGGACUUUGCUAUUAAUGGUGGAGAAAAUUUUCAGCCAACAAAUGAUGCCUUCGAUGGUUGGAUGUAUAAGAUUUGAUAUGACAACAAUACUAAGUAAACUGUAACGAUUGUUUAGAGAAUUUAUUGCUCGAGUUUGAUCUUCAAAAAGUUUAUUACAUCGGCAGACAUGUGAUGUAUCUUAGAGACCCAGUUUGACUGGUUUCAAAAGAAAACAAGGAAACAAAACUGAGUGUUGUCAUCUGUUACUCAUGAACUUGCCACCCUCCAGAUCCUAAGUCUCUGGACAGCUUACAUUGCUAGAAAUAUA